This 164-nucleotide ribosomal RNA is filed under the name uncultured bacterium. RNAcentral's name for it is "partial 16S ribosomal RNA". It matches the Rfam family "Bacterial small subunit ribosomal RNA", at positions 1339 to 1500 of the family's 1533-position model. The record is from RNAcentral.
UAAUGGCAGGUCAGCAUACUGCCGUGAAUACGUUCCCGGGCCUUGUACACACCGCCCGUCACACCAUGAGAGUUGGGAAUACCCGAAGCCUGUGAGCUAACUAUUUAUAGAGGCAGCAGUCGAAGGUAGAAUCAAUGAUUGGGGUGAAGUCGUAACAAGGUACC